GACGAACGCUGGCGGCGUGCUUAACACAUGCAAGUCGAACGAAGAGCGAUGGAAGCUUGCUUCUAUCAAUCUUAGUGGCGAACGGGUGAGUAACGCGUAAUCAACCUGCCCUUCAGAGGGGGACAACAGUUGGAAACGACUGCUAAUACCGCAUACGAUCUAACCUUGGCAUCGAGGAUGGAUGAAAGGUGGCCUCUAUUUAUAAGCUAUCACUGAAGGAGGGGAUUGCGUCUGAUUAGCUAGUUGGAGGGGUAACGGCCCACCAAGGCGAUGAUCAGUAGCCGGUCUGAGAGGAUGAACGGCCACAUUGGGACUGAGACACGGCCCAGACUCCUACGGGAGGCAGCAGUGGGGAAUCUUCCGCAAUGGACGAAAGUCUGACGGAGCAACGCCGCGUGAGUGAUGACGGCCUUCGGGUUGUAAAGCUCUGUUAAUCGGGACGAAAGGCCUUCUUGCGAAUAGUUAGAAGGAUGGACG
RNAcentral lists this ribosomal RNA (477 nucleotides) under Veillonella dispar. RNAcentral's name for it is "bacterial SSU rRNA". It matches the Rfam family "Bacterial small subunit ribosomal RNA", at positions 28 to 474 of the family's 1533-position model. The record is from RNAcentral. Lineage: Bacteria; Bacillati; Bacillota; Negativicutes; Veillonellales; Veillonellaceae.